Bombus pyrosoma is the source of this 5618-nucleotide long non-coding RNA. RefSeq lists it as uncharacterized. The record is from RefSeq and is a predicted model, not a curated record. Lineage: Eukaryota; Metazoa; Arthropoda; Insecta; Hymenoptera; Apidae. The transcript is spliced from 7 exons.
AUGCCUGAGGCUGAUUACGAAAAUUCUCGUAUUUUCGUCGUUGUCAUUUAGUAAGAAACAAUUUAACUAUACCUUAGGUAUAGUUAGUAAUAAAACGAUUAAUUAACACAAUUUAUACUGAUUUAUUGUAUUUGGAUGUAGAGUUUUAUUUAGAUAGAUAUCGAAAUUUCAAUCAUUUGAAUAGUACCCGGGUACUGAGAGAACUGGAUACGUUCCUGCAUCAAACGCACCCUGGUGGUAAAUUUCGAAAUUAAAAUUUGAAAUUGCACCAUUUCGCGCGGUGUCAUAUUGAGAAGAGGAAGCAACUGUCGAGAGCUCGUCAUAAAUGUGGAAAAUUUAAUAUACAAAACCAAGUCAUUGUUUCAAAAUAGUAUUUGAUUACUUCCUCUUUUUCUUGCUCCUCGAAAAGGACGUAGUAGUGCUUGAAAAGUCAAGAAUGUUUCUUCCAACCUUCAUUUCUUUCAUUGAAUUCGACAAUUCCGACUAGAUGAGAAUUUCUAUUGGGCAACAGUAUCGAUGACAACGUUGUUCGUAUAUAAUCCUACUCACUCACGUGCCUAGGUUCUAGUUGUGUGGGAGAAAAGCAAUGGGCAUGAUGACUAGUUUGUGAGCUUAACAAUUUUUCAGUGACUGAUGUUGCGUUAGUAUGGUGCACGUACUUUGCACUGCGUGUGUAUGUGUGUGCAUGCGCACGUUUGUGUGGUUAGGCCGUGGAAUUGCGUCGCUUUGGCUAUUCAUUAUAAUUUUAAAAUAUUUAUAAAUUCGCAAAUAUGAAUCCAAUUACAAUUUACAAUAACGAUGCUAAUAAAUAUGUAUAGUAGAUUAUAAAUAGUAAUAUUAAUCUUAGUAUUAAAUUACAACGAUAGUUAAAUUAAUUCAGAUAUCAUGAUCUAUUCUAGUAAAAUUAUUUCUUUGAAUGAUAUAUACAUGAUUAUAUACGAUUAUGAAUAUUUAAUUAAAAUUUAAAUUCAAAUAUACUUUAUUAAGGUUGAAAUAUACAUGAUAUUUUUAUGAAAUGGUCUCUAAACAUCGUCAAUUGAUUUCAGGAAAAUGAUAUGUAAAUUAGAGUGUGAAAAUUGUGUGCUAAACUCGGGUGUCGAAGAUGUCCCGGGACGUCUCUCUUGUGUAGGUUCUUAUGUUCGGGUUAUGUGUGAGAAGCGUGGAGCGAGCGUGUUGGUAUGUCUGUUUUGUUAUUUUUUAAAUAUAGGACUAGAUAGGAUAGGUAGCAUAGCCUCUAGCGUGAGUGUUAAUUAUAAGUAAGUAGUGCCGGACAGGUUGGCACAGUUUCUGAUCGGGUAGGCGUGUUUUCGCGUGGUCCAAUCUAUUUCAAUAAAUUUGAUUUAAAAGAUUGACGGCGAAGCUUGUGUCACAAGUGGAGCAUACCAUUUGCCUCUGGCUGCUGAUUUGCCCACCGAUUUUUCAAAUUUUGCGAUUGUGGUCGUGAGUAGAUCUCGAAACAAACGAUUACAUGUAUUACUCGAGCAUGCACAUGCGAAUGAACAGCGAUCACUAUGAUGUGCACUUGAAUUAGCUUCCGCGAUUUAUAUUUUAUUUUAUCUUUAUAAGUUGUUCUUUGUUUCCCGAUUAGAAAGUCUCGAGCUAGAUUUAAGUUUCAGUGGGCAUUGUGUUCGAAAAAGGAACAUGCUACGAGUCGCAGAGACCCGGAAAAAUUGCCAUAGGAGAGACACAACUACUAAUGGCUUUCCAUCUUUUAGAUCAGCCAAAGCAUGGAGAGUCAUUCUCAUUAUUACUUUGCCACUAUGCUCGCUUUUAGCAUUUGUAAUUGUAGUAUUUUUUUCGGCCUAUGUAUACGUCGGUCCACCAUCAUAUAAAUCGCGGUUUUUUUCAUUAGCGUUGUAAGAGAUUAAUUAUGGUUUGAAUUAGAGUUGCGAAAAAGUUUUGUGGCUUUUUGUUAGCGUCGCGAGGGACUGAUUACGGUUUAAAUUAGACUUGUGGAAAGAUGAUAAUCGUGUUUAUUUUAAUGUUACGAAUUAUGCCAUCGCCAUAAUGAUACUGUCCGGAGCAAUUUUGAUUAUGAAUAGUCAGAAUUUCUGAGAGAGUAAUUCAUAUUAGAGUUUCUCUUGUGUCCUUUAAAAUUUCUUGUUUUAUUUAAAGUUGGAUUUAGAGAUGUUAAAUGUCCCAUUGAUUUUAUAAUAUCGCAGUUUGUAGUAACACGAUAUGUGAAAUAGCUUUUUCAUUAUAUGUAUGUGGAUAUUUAUUUUAUUUUUGUUUUAAGAAUUAGCGUUGCGUUCUUCCAUCAUGAUUGUUUUAAUUAGUUUUAGUAAAUAACUAACUAGUUAAAGUAGUGUUGCGCCUAUAUCAUGUCCAAUCUUCUUUCACUGGGCUGUGGAAACAUAUUCCUGCUUCUGUAUCAUCUGGUACUGUUCCAAUAGCCUUCUAUAUGGCUGCACUGCACCGUUAUUAGUGUUGUGAACAUAUAAAUGUGAGUGGAUAGAUUAAUAUAGCUAUCAAUAUUGGACAAAUAAUUCGGCAUAACAACACCGGUAUUGUCUAUCUUUUUUUCUUGUUUUUCUUUAUCAAUAGAAAAUUAAUUAAUAUUACAAACGCGAUAAAGCACUCAUUGAGAUUUCCUGCAACACGUUAAAAUACAGUUAAUCGAUAGAAUUUUUAGUGAAUCAAACAACAAUUAAAAUUUCGUGUCGGAUAAAUAAAUUCUUAUUGUGCCGUUAGAAAGUUCAGUCUCCUAAAUAAUGGGAACAGUAAAUUUUGAAAUACUGAUUGUACAAUGAUAUCGAGAUAGUGAUUGCAAAGGAUGUUAAAAAAUACUAAAAACCGUUCCUAUAGAAAAUUGCCUUUUUCCUUCCUAAUCGAAGGAUCUCGUACAACUUCCUUUUCGUGAAGAAUUCUUGGUUCCUCCAUUAUCUGAAACAUUUUUCCGCGUCACGGUAGCUGUGUUUGAUGUGUUAAAAUUCGCGUCGCAUGCAUGGAGGACGUGAAGGUAAUUAAGUGGAGAAGCGGAAUCCUCGAGGUUGUGUAAAAGACACGGAGGUCGCAGCUCGUGACCCACUUUGUUCAUCGACAACUGCUUCCUACUUGGAGAACAUCUUAUUCUUCCCUUGUUGAACGUAGCAAACGUAGGCACCCUCUGCCUCGCAGAAAUAUUAUACCUUAGAAAAAUCGUGUCGAGCGUUAAUCGCACAUCUUUUGAGAAGCUACUGGUCUCCGAACGUUUGAAAUCGUGCGUCGAGAUGUGUAUUCGUUUCGAGGUUGUGAUUGAUCGACAUCGCAAUCAAUCGGAUUUAGUAUGUAGAAAUACAUCGGCCCACGAAAUACAUAUUUCAAUACUUGUCCUAGAAAACUUUUAUAUUAUAUAAUUUAUAUAUUAUAUGCGUUACAUAAAACAUUUAGAAAUAUCAUUAGCGAUGUUAUGAGACACGGCUGUAAUGGUUAUAUUGGUCAAAUUUCUGAGAAUCUGAAAAUGUAUAUAGAAGUUAUAAAAGAUUUAUCGCAAACACAUAUAUGUAUGUACGUACAUUUUACGUAUGAAUUAACGUGUACAUAUAAUAGUUAGUAAAAAAUUAGUAUGCACCAUGGAUAGCCAUCUUAAACAUGCAAUAAAUGUUAAAAAUGGGCUUUUGAAUAUUUGGGCUUAUAUAAUAGGCAACUCAGUAUUUAGAUACUUUCGCAAUCUCUGCAAAACGUUUAAACUUUAAUAUUAUACAUACGUUUGGAUUGGUAAUUAUAAUGUUUCUUAAUCAUUAACCAUCUUAAUGUGCUAUUGUCAUUGUGAUUAAAAUUGCAUGUAGUAAUUAUACGCGAGUUUCAAAAACUCACGAAUUUGUAGUGUAAAAAGAAAAAAUUUGUUGGGCAAUUAUAAUUUUAAUUAAGGAUUAGUUGGAACCUCCUGGAUUUGAGCGCGUUGUGUAAGAACAUACGUACUACGAAAUUUUACACGUGGAGAAUCCUUAGGCAGAUAAAUAUUUCAUAAGAACGUUAGUACUCACGCUUGCUAAAUUAUACGUGUUUGUAAUUAUUGUAGAUAUAUCUUAGACUGUGCUCCUUUUCUCGCGUCCCUUUGCUAUUUUUGUACAGCAAUUCCCAUAACUAUCUCUUUUCAUUCUUUUAGCGUUUUUAAUGAUUUAUGGUUUUAUAAUUAUAUGCAUAGCUCUGUAAUUAACAACAACGUUUGGGAAUGCAUUAAUUUACAUAUUUUAUAAGAUAAUGAUAAACAUUUUGUUUAUAUAACGAUCUAAGAUUGUUAUGGAUCAUAUUAAUUAUGACAUUAAUUUAGAUUAAAUUUCAACGACGUCCAGUUUGAAAAUUGAUGAAUUAUUUUUUGAGUUUCUUUAGAAAUAAAAUUGAUCUUUUCACUUCAUUGCAUUUGCCAGAUUGCUACUUUCGCUAACACUGGGAUACCAUUCUUGCAACCAGGUGAUCCUCAAUAUCAUUUCUCAUAAAAUUGGCAAAUUCCAAAAUAUUCGGAAAUGACAAGUACGAGAGGCAAAGAAAAAAAAUAGUUGCGUUGUCUUAUGGACUGUUAACAAUGUGUCGAAUGUAAAGGAUCGGAAGUUCGUUUUGCCUCAUCCACCUGAUGAAGUAUUCGAUGUGGUAACAAAUAUCCAUUUGUAGUGAAGCACCUUUCUAUGAAUUUCUGUGAUCUCUUUCUGUCACACCAAAAAAAAACUCUGCCCUGUAGUAGAGUCGUAGAGCUAUUUGGAAGAACUUCCCAUGUAAGGUAAGGCUACUUCAUUCAUCUCUGUCAACCUAUGGUAACAAGGUAUGUCAUUAGUCCCUGUUUCAUUAUCAGAUGAUAACGAGUAACAUAGAACACAAUGUACAAAUAUAAAUACGUACAAAUGCGAAAAUUCUAUUAGAGCAAAAAUAUAUCGUAAUAUGUAUCUCUGUGUUUGUAAAUAAUAAUAAAUGAUAAAUGUUAUUAAUGUAUAAGGUGCCUCUAUCAUAUAUUUUAUUAGAGAAACUAUUUUAUUAAUCAAUUUUGUUUGAUUUAUGCAUGCUUCUAAUUUAAUUUUGUCGUGUUGUAUCUAGUUCUAUAUAAAUUGUUCUAAAUAAAUUGAAAAUUUUGGGGUGAUUUGAUAAUUAUGUAAUCUAAUAAUGUUCCAUUUGUUACAGGAGGGCAAUCUUAAAAUUCAGUACAUCGUUAAUUCAGUCUAUAGUAUGAGACUGUCCUUUUAUUUGGCACUAAACACGUAUUCUUCCACCCUUCUCAUAACUUUAAAGAUAUUGAUCGUCAGAAUAUUAAAAUAUUAUUUGUUUUAAGUUAUAUUAUAUAUGUCGGAGAAGCGCUGGGAUAUCGACAAGUAACCGUGGUAAUUAGAUAAUCGAGACGCUAACGACAAUGAUCCUAGGUUCGAUAACGAAUCCGCGGUCAACGGGAUCGUAGAUGUAUGAUCUCACAAAAUCUAAGUCCGGAUCGUGAAGAUGGUACUCUGUUCGUUAGUAAAGACGCAAACAGGAAUCCCUCUUCGUCUCGAUGGUGCCACCGAGGAAAACUAUGACGGGUCUCCCCAAGCGCAUGAGGUCAUCGGAUUCGUGGAGCUAUGCCUUCGUUCAGAGGGUGAGGGAAAUUGACGUUGCUGUUAAUUGGUCAAUUUCCACGUCGACGGUUGGAAAAGAAUGCUAGCCCCCCUUGAGGGAAA